Molecule: ribosomal RNA, 204 nt
Filed under: Aphidius transcaspicus
Lineage: Eukaryota; Metazoa; Arthropoda; Insecta; Hymenoptera; Braconidae
Description: partial 28S ribosomal RNA
Source: RNAcentral
AAAUAUAGAGGACAGACCAGACUGUGUAGCCAUUAAUUUUAUUUGUAUAUAUAUAUUAUGUGUAUGUUAUUGUUAUUUAUUAUUAGUUUUGUUGUAUUUAAUGAUUCUUAAGAUUUUUAUUUUUUUUUUUCAUUUUUAAAAUUAUUUAAUAACAAUAUUAACGACCUCCCAGUAGGUGAGACUACCCCCCUAAAUUUUAACCAU